Quercus lobata is the source of this 1237-nucleotide RNA transcript. It is a transcript of the gene named putative pre-16S rRNA nuclease, with no coding region annotated. Lineage: Eukaryota; Viridiplantae; Streptophyta; Magnoliopsida; Fagales; Fagaceae. The record is from RefSeq and is a predicted model, not a curated record. The transcript has 6 exons.
UGGGUCUGUAGACUCUGUACCCAUUUUGAGUGUUUCGUAUGAAACAUUGAAACCGUUCUGAACGGUAACUCACUUCGUUUGAAACAUUGAAUUUCACUUGUAAUGAAUCUCUCUCUCUCUCUCUCUCUCUGUUUAACUUUUUGCUCCAAAAGUGUUUGUGAAAAAAUAUGUCACAAAUAGCAUUUGAUCUCUGUGUAGACUAACUGUUUGUAAAAAUGCUGCAAUGAAAAUGAACUUUGUGCCGAAAAGCUGGACUAAAUGCAUUAAAAAAAAAAGAGUUUAUUGCUUCGCAUUUUGGAAGUAAAAAUAUUAUUGCCCAUGUUGUUCAUUUUUGUAAUGUUAAUUUUGCUUAAAACGUAUUUCCCAGAGUGACAAAUAAAAGGUUUUGUUUUUUGUUGUUGAGGGGUCUGGUUGAUUAAUGAGGUACGUGAAGCCGUUGAACUUGUUCCAUGAUUUGCUCACGUCAAAAGCAGUAAAACGGGGUCGUUUGCUUGGUCUGGAUGUUGGUGAUAAGUAUGUUGGACUUGCUGUUUCAGACACUCACAAUAAGAUAGCUUCACCUCUAAGUGUUCUGCUAAGGAAGAAAUCAAAUAUAGAUCUAAUGGUUAGUGACUUUCAAAGUCUGAUCUCUGAACUUUCUCUGGUGGGCUUUGUUGUUGGCUGCCCUUUCGACAGACGAAGAAGUGCUCCUGAUGCAGUGCAAGUGAAGCUUUUCAUUGAUGAUCUCUGUAAAACGGGGAAACUCAAAGGUUUAAACUACACGUAUUGGGAUGAGAGUUUUACAUCUAAGAAUGUGGAAUUACUGUUAAAGCCUUUGAAUUUACAUCCAGUCCAGUCAAAGACAAUAAUUGACAAGUUUGCUGCUGUGGAAAUACUCCAGGGAAUAUUCAUUCUUCUAUGCAUUCCACCAAAAAAUCAAAUGGUUCACUGUGCUUUACAUAUUUAACACGGAAUUCAUCAAUGUAAAAUGCAAUGGACUCCAAUUGUUAUAUUAAGCACAAUGUACUCAUCCAUGUGCUAUCAGACAACAAACUGGGAUACCUGGAUUAUGUUAACAGGAAGAUGAAGUUGGAAGCAGCAGAGUAAGAUGUCUCUAAAUGGAUGUAAGUUGCUUGUUAUUCAUGUACAUAACAGGACUGUUUAAUGAAUGUCGUACUCACAAGUCACAACAUAGAUGUACUGCUGUUUUUGAGUUUCACAAUUCUCUUAGCUUUGCAUUAUAAUUUUUCGAACUAUU